This 566-nucleotide ribosomal RNA is filed under the name Cladosporium cladosporioides. RNAcentral's name for it is "LSU rRNA". It matches the Rfam family "Eukaryotic large subunit ribosomal RNA", at positions 81 to 668 of the family's 3401-position model. The record is from RNAcentral. Lineage: Eukaryota; Fungi; Ascomycota; Dothideomycetes; Cladosporiales; Cladosporiaceae.
UAGUAACGGCGAGUGAAGCAGCAAUAGCUCAAAUUUGAAAUCUGGCGUCUUCGACGUCCGAGUUGUAAUUUGUAGAGGAUGCUUCUGAGUAACCACCGACCUAAGUUCCUUGGAACAGGACGUCAUAGAGGGUGAGAAUCCCGUAUGCGGUCGGAAAGGUGCUCUAUACGUAGCUCCUUCGACGAGUCGAGUUGUUUGGGAAUGCAGCUCUAAAUGGGAGGUAAAUUUCUUCUAAAGCUAAAUAUUGGCCAGAGACCGAUAGCGCACAAGUAGAGUGAUCGAAAGAUGAAAAGCACUUUGGAAAGAGAGUUAAAAAGCACGUGAAAUUGUUAAAAGGGAAGGGAUUGCAACCAGACUUGCUCGCGGUGUUCCGCCGGUCUUCUGACCGGUCUACUCGCCGCGUUGCAGGCCAGCAUCGUCUGGUGCCGCUGGAUAAGACUUGAGGAAUGUAGCUCCCUCGGGAGUGUUAUAGCCUCUUGUGAUGCAGCGAGCGCCGGGCGAGGUCCGCGCUUCGGCUAGGAUGCUGGCGUAAUGGUCGUAAUCCGCCCGUCUUGAAACACGGACCA